CAAGUACUCCCCCGUCCCAAAAUUCUUGUCUUAAAUUUGUCUAAAUACGAAUGUAUCAAGUCACGUUUAGUAUUAGAUACACCUAUAUCUAGACGAAUGUAAGACAAGAUUUUUGGAACUGAGGGAGUAUCUU
Non-coding RNA from Triticum aestivum (bread wheat), 133 nucleotides. The record is from Rfam. Lineage: Eukaryota; Viridiplantae; Streptophyta; Magnoliopsida; Poales; Poaceae.